CAGAAGUGCGAGAAGUGGUGAAAGACACAAAGAUUAAUUCUGGCAUAAAGUUCUUAGCAUUAUAUAAUUGAAUCAAGAGAUUGGAGUAAUCUGCCUGUGUGGAAUAUCAUGGAAUUACAACAUGAGGUAUAUUUUUUUCCUCAUGAAAUAGAAUAACUGCAAUGACUUCCACCACAUCUGGUUGAGGAGCCUACAUUAAAACCUGGAUGUUGUACAAUCAUGUUACAUAAUUCAUGUGGGUCUCCACAUUCCAGGUUUAUAUCUGGUUUCUACUACAUAUAGUUGACACAGUAUGUACAACUAUUCUUUUCAGCAUUGGCUCCUUGCUGCCAUUCAAAAACCACAAAGACAGAUUCUUCUGCAAUUCAGAAAAGGCAGAUUGGCAACUUUUCAGUAUUUCAGAGGACUUCUGUCACCCGUUGUCACAUAGAACAAGAUGGUUUUCUGCUUCACUGGAACAGUGGAAGACAAUAUUCCCCUAGAAGCUGAAAGGCCUUGAAGAUAAUUGCUGCAAGGAUGGGCUGAAUGCCUUGAACAGCAUAGCAUAAGCAGUAGCCCAAAGACAGGAAUGGAGUAAAGAUGUAUUUGCACAACAAGAAAAUUUCCUUUGUGUAACCAAAGCAACAUCUGCAGCUACUCAGAUUCUCAGAAUCCUUUUCACAGGCUGCUUAUGGGCUCUGCUGCCAUUCAUCCAUCCAUAAGGCAGAAGAUUUUGAUUUUCUACCUCAUCUGCUCAUAGGUGUGUACAUUCUUAGGAGGUGUGUUUAGCCGUCAACACAGAAAAGCGACAACAGGACCCUCUCUCUGAAAGUGCUUAUUAUCCUUCUGAGUUACCAGAAGCCUGAGCAAAAAAGGGGGGAAAAAAAGGGUAAAACCAGAUAAAAGCAACUGAAGAAAAAAAUUACAUGUAUAUGGUCCAUAUACUUUGCAAGUGUUCUUCCCUGUUGCACUGAUGUCUCCUUUUUCUCUGUACUCUAAGAGAAAUAGUUGGAUUUACUGGCAUCCAGGUAAACUGGAUUUUUAAAGAAAGCCAUCACAUGCAGGAUGUUUUUGUAGAGCUAUAAAAUAGUUACUGCUAUGUCUGUAUUUUUUUGUAU
This is a long non-coding RNA of Pogoniulus pusillus (Red-fronted tinkerbird), 1097 nucleotides long. RefSeq lists it as uncharacterized. The transcript has 4 exons. The record is from RefSeq and is a predicted model, not a curated record. NCBI's taxonomy places the organism in Eukaryota, Metazoa, Chordata, Aves, Piciformes, Lybiidae.